This 253-nucleotide ribosomal RNA is filed under the name uncultured bacterium. RNAcentral describes it as "partial 16S ribosomal RNA". It matches the Rfam family "Bacterial small subunit ribosomal RNA", at positions 524 to 776 of the family's 1533-position model. The record is from RNAcentral.
AACGUAGGAGGCGAGCGUUAUCCGGAGUUACUGGGCGUAAAGCGCGUGUAGGCGGUUCGAUAAGUCCGCUGUGAAAGUCAACGGCUCAACUGUUGGAUGCCGGUGGAUACUGUCGGGCUAGAGUACGGAAGAGGCAAGUGGAAUUCCUGGUGUAGCGGUGGAAUGCGCAGAUAUCAGGAGGAACACCGGUGGCGAAGGCGGGUCUCUGGGCCGAAACUGACGCUGAGGAGCGAAAGCUAGGGGAGCAAACGGG